Molecule: ribosomal RNA, 497 nt
Filed under: uncultured bacterium
Lineage: Bacteria
Description: partial 16S ribosomal RNA
Rfam family: Bacterial small subunit ribosomal RNA
Source: RNAcentral
GAUGAACGCUGGCGGCGUGCCUAAUACAUGCAAGUCGAGCGAACAGACGAGGAGCUUGCUCCUCUGACGUUAGCGGCGGACGGGUGAGUAACACGUGGAUAACCUACCUAUAAGACUGGGAUAACUUCGGGAAACCGGAGCUAAUACCGGAUAAUAUAUUGAACCGCAUGGUUCAAUAGUGAAAUACGGUUUUGCUGUCACUUAUAGAUGGAUCCGCGCCGCAUUAGCUAGUUGGUAAGGUAACGGCUUACCAAGGCGGCGAUGCGUAGCCGACCUGAGAGGGUGAUACGCCACCCUGGGACUGAGCCGCGCUCCACACUCCUACGGCAGGCCGCAGUAGGCAAUCUUCCGCAGUAGGCGGAAGCCUGACGGAGCAACGCCGCGUGAGUGAUGAAGGUCUUCGGAUCGUAAAACUCUGUUAUUAGGGAAGAACAAAUGUGUAAGUAAAUAUGCCCGUCUUGACGGUACCGAAUCAGAAAGCCACGGCUAACUACGUG